This 65-nucleotide transfer RNA is filed under the name Ducetia japonica. RNAcentral's name for it is "tRNA-Cys". The record is from RNAcentral. Lineage: Eukaryota; Metazoa; Arthropoda; Insecta; Orthoptera; Tettigoniidae.
GGCUUUAUAGUCAAAAAUGAUAUUAGACUGCAAUUCUAAAGGGGUAGAAUAUUCUACUGAGGCCU